This 508-nucleotide ribosomal RNA is filed under the name uncultured bacterium. Its description in RNAcentral is "partial 16S ribosomal RNA". It matches the Rfam family "Bacterial small subunit ribosomal RNA", at positions 28 to 523 of the family's 1533-position model. The record is from RNAcentral.
GAUGAACGCUAGCUACAGGCUUAACACAUGCAAGUCGAGGGGAAACGACAUCGAAAGCUUGCUUUUGAUGGGCGUCGACCGGCGCACGGGUGAGUAACGCGUAUCCAACCUGCCCACCACUUGGGGAUAACCUUGCGAAAGUAAGACUAAUACCCAAUGAUAUCUCUAGAAGACAUCUGAAGGAGAAUAAAGAUUUAUCGGUGAUGGAUGGGGAUGCGUCUGAUUAGCGUGUUGGCGGGGUAACGGCCCACCAAGGCGACGAUCAGUAGGGGUUCGGAGAGGAAGGUCCCCCACAGUGGAACUGAGACACGGUCCAAACUCCUACGGGAGGCAGCAGCGAGGAAUAUUGGUCAAUGGGCGAGAGCCUGAACCAGCCAAGUAGCGUGCAGGAUGACGGCCCUAUGGGUUGUAAACUGCUUUUAUAAGGGAAUAAAGUGAGUCUCGUGAGACUUUUUGCAUGUACCUUAUGAAUAAGGACCGGCUAAUUCCGUGCCAGCCGCCGCGGUAA